UUUGGCUAAGAUCACGUAUCUUGUCGGACGGUUGAGACUGCGAUCGCCUCUUGGAGGUUUCCUGACUCGAGAUCUUUUUAUAUCUUGAGUCACACAACUUCGAGAGGUACAUUGAACUCUGCUGCUUCUGGCUCCAACAAGUUUUAAGGUACAUGAAAAUGGAGGAGCUAUGGUCCGCAGGAGCCUCCAUAUGGAGCGGAUCAAAUUUUAACAAAAAUGAUGGAGUUGCGGUUUUAAUUAAUAAUCCUAACAUCUUGGUGAAGGGCAGCACUGUGCCCCCCUCGGCGGUUCCUGGUGAAACUGGAGAGGGCGGUGUUUUACUUCCUGUGGGGGUCCAAGUGGGAGCG
Molecule: long non-coding RNA, 347 nt
Organism: Carassius carassius (crucian carp)
Lineage: Eukaryota; Metazoa; Chordata; Actinopteri; Cypriniformes; Cyprinidae
Exons: 3
Source: RefSeq, a predicted model, not a curated record